GGCAUAUAGUAUUUAAUUGAUUAGGUUAAUUAGGUAUCUUAUGGUGUAAUUGAAUGUAUUUACAACAAAAGGAAAAUGACUGUGGUACAACGAGUAUCUAGUUACGGUAAAAUUCUAAACGACGUUUUAUUAGUCCUAUACAAGUAGAGUUAAUGAAACUUGUAGCUAUUUUUAUUUUUUUAGAUACGCAAUUAUAAACACAAAAAUAAUAUAAAAGAUUACCACUUCAGUGUUGCCCAUUGUAGAAUUACCAACAAAUGUAAAACAAAAC
Molecule: long non-coding RNA, 271 nt
Filed under: Mytilus galloprovincialis (Mediterranean mussel)
Lineage: Eukaryota; Metazoa; Mollusca; Bivalvia; Mytilida; Mytilidae
Source: RNAcentral